This 497-nucleotide ribosomal RNA is filed under the name uncultured bacterium. Its description in RNAcentral is "partial 16S ribosomal RNA". It matches the Rfam family "Bacterial small subunit ribosomal RNA", at positions 28 to 507 of the family's 1533-position model. The record is from RNAcentral.
GAUGAACGCUGGCGGCGUGCCUAAUACAUGCCAGUCGAGCGAACGGACGAAAAGCUUGCUUCUCUGAUGUUAGCGGCGGACGGGUGAGUAACACGUGGAUAACCUACCUAUAAGACUGGGAUAACUUCGGGAAACCGGAGCUAAUACCGGAUAAUAUUUUGAACCGCAUGGUUCAAAAGUGAAAGACGGUCUUGCUGUCACUUAUAGAUGGAUCCGCGCUGCAUUAGCUAGUUGGUAAGGUAACGGCUUACCAAGGCAACGAUGCAUAGCCGACCUGAGAGGGUGAUCGGCCACACUGGAACUGAGACACGGUCCAGACUCCUACGGGAGGCAGCAGUAGGGAAUCUUCCGCAAUGGGCGAAAGCCUGACGGAGCAACGCCGCGUGAGUGAUGAAGGUCUUCGGAUCGUAAAACUCUGUUAUUAGGGAAGAACAUAUGUGUAAGUAACUGUGCACAUCUUGACGGUACCUAAUCAGAAAGCCACGGCUAACUACGUG